This 461-nucleotide ribosomal RNA is filed under the name uncultured bacterium. Its description in RNAcentral is "partial 16S ribosomal RNA". It matches the Rfam family "Bacterial small subunit ribosomal RNA", at positions 28 to 507 of the family's 1533-position model. The record is from RNAcentral.
GACGAACGCUGGCGGCGUGCCUAACACAUGCAAGUCGAACGGUGAAGCCCUUCGGGGUGGAUCAGUGGCGAACGGGUGAGUAACACGUGAGCAACCUGCCCCUGGCUCUGGGACAACCACUGGAAACGGUGGCUAAUACCGGAUACGACCCGCCUCGGCAUCGAGUGUGGGUGGAAAGUUUUUCGGCUGGGGAUGGGCUCGCGGCCUAUCAGCUUGUUGGUGAGGUGAAGGCUCACCAAGGCGACGACGGGUAGCCGGCCUGAGAGGGCGACCGGCCACACUGGGACUGAGACACGGCCCAGACUCCUACGGGAGGCAGCAGUGGGGAAUAUUGCACAAUGGGCGAAAGCCUGAUGCAGCGACGCCGCGUGAGGGAUGACGGCCUUCGGGUUGUAAACCUCUUUCAGCUCCGAGAAGCGAAAGUGACGGUAGGAGCAGAAGAAGCACCGGCUAACUACGUG